Molecule: long non-coding RNA, 9672 nt
Organism: Rattus norvegicus (Norway rat)
Lineage: Eukaryota; Metazoa; Chordata; Mammalia; Rodentia; Muridae
Source: RefSeq, a predicted model, not a curated record
CCAUCCUGGCGGAUUCUAAGAUAAAGAGACAAUAGUACCACUGGACGACCUAAAAUACGUGCCUCAGAGUCUACCUCUGGGAACCACGAGGGAAGUGACACGGAGCAGAGCGUCGUGCCCCAGGCUCCGCACCUCCCAGGCUACUGAUCCUCCACAGAGUUCCACUCCAGUCCUACUCCUGGUUGUUAAAGCCCCACAUACUGAAGCCCAGGAUCUCUGAACUGUGGGAACUUCAGACAUCGCUGAAUUCCUCCAAUGACUUCGGUCCAGGAUUCAGGCGCCUAAUCUGGGCCUGGCGCUUGCCAGGCCAGCUUCCCUGCCAUUCUUUGCAAGAACUGUGUGUACAGCAUCGGACUUACUUUCCCAGAAGUGCUUCUGGAACCAGAGUCCACACAAAGGGGCUGUUAAAUGUGCUUUCCUCCUUUUGGCCCAGCUGGCUCCUGAGCUUCAGGUCACACAGAGCUCACAGUUCCUAUCGACUUUUCCCAAAGGAUCCCUGGGCUCCUGCAGGAGCCAGCCCGUCCCUGGGGCAGGAAGUUCUGUUUACUCUGUCUUGGAGCCAGGUGCUCAUCCAUAAAAGGGAAACGAGUCCUUUAGGAAAAGGGCUGGGUGCUUGGAAAUUCUUUAAAAGUGAAAGCCCCAAGGCUGCUGUCUGUUGUUCUGUACUUCGGCUUGAUACAGUUUUUCUGUACAUAAAAGCACAGGCCGUGGGGAUUGGCUGAAGGGUACAUCUAAGAAACAACAUCUAAUAAACAAAAAGUGUGGAGAGAAUGCCGCGGGAACUCUCAACACUGCGCAACUGGGCCAAAUUACUGUUUGUUUGUUUGUUUGUUUGUUUGUUUUUUCUUUUCCGUUGAAACAGAGGUCAUGAGUAGACAUCAGGCAUCUUUCCUCAAUCUCUCUCUGUCUUUUUACAUUUGCUGUUUUUUUCAUUUAUGUUAAUAAUGCAUGGGAGGUCAGAGGACAACUUUCGGGAGUCUGUUCUCUUUUUAUACCUCGAGUUUGGAGUUCCUGUUCAUCGGUUUGAUUAACAAGUGCCUUUACCCGCUGAGCUACCUCUCUAGUCCACACUGCUAUUUCAUCAGCCUUCUAGAGCACAGAUCUGAAGAAAGAGCACUGUUAUGUGAACAACUGUCUCAGUGGUACUCUGAGUAAGAAGGAGUAAACGUUGAAAUAUUAUGACCUUUGGGUCAAUGGAUGGUUGCCUCCAAAUUUCCACAUGGUGUCUAGCAAGGAAGUUCUGUUCUAUCUGUUGCAGACACAUAUGGACAGUGCCGUACACCACAAGCAUGUACGACAGACAGGAAAAGGGUAUCAAUGGGGUAGGGAAGAGGGCUUUGGGAAUCAGAACUCUCGGGGAUUCAGUCGUAACAGGCUAAUAUUAUUAAGUCAUAAAGUAAAUUUUUAGAACUUUCAUUAUUUAUUAGUAAUUGAACAGUAAUUCGGAAUUCUUACCAGGGUUUGGGUUAGGGACUUUGCAGAUCCAAACUCAUUUUACCUUCAUGAUAACCUUGUCAGUUUAGUGUUGUCAGAAUAUACAGAUGACAUCAGGCAGUUAAAGAACUUAUUUAGCAUCAAGGAAAACAGUGACACUGGAAUAGGGACCUUGGGUAGUUAGCCACCAGUGCCCUAGACAUUUUAUUUCACUUCCACUUGUACUCUGUGCCCUUGUAAACACUUGAGAUAUAUUCAUAUUUUAAAUAUAAACAGCAUGAAUAAUGGGACAGCUUAAUGCACUGGAACAACCAUGGAGGAACUGGGAAAACAGCUUAGCUGAGAAUGUGCUGACCACACAAGUGUAAGGACCUCAGUUCAAUCUCAAGCAUCCAUGGGAAAAGCCAGAUGUGGAGGCAAGGGCUGCAGUCCCACUGAUGGAGAAGAAACGGCAGAUCACUGGGGUUUGCCAGACAGCCUAGGCUAACUGGUGACAGCAAAUCCCAGACAGAAGCCAUGUCUUCACUGGCAAAGCAGUACCCAUGGUUUCCCUCUGGCAGAAGCUUCUUCAGACUUCGUUGGUGAGGGAGAGAUAAGGAGGAGGAUGCAGCUGAAAUGCAGUGAUGCCGAGCCCACCAUCAGACACUUGCCACUGCUCCUGGAAAACUUCGGAACCUCAUCUUCUUCUUCACGUUUGCUUUUAUUCUGGGCACACAUGACCCUGUGCCCUCUCAGCUCUUUGACCUAGUGACCUUUUUCUCUGCUUAGCUUUGGCUUCCUGUUCUCACGGUGUAGACUGUAAAGUCUAAACCACAUUAUCUCUUGAAUGGCUCCAUCUCCACCCUCAGACUCAGACAUCCUCUUCACUGACACAUAGCCUGUCCCUGAAGCUUGCUCAGAUAUGUCACAAUCACCCUUCCUCCCUCUAGGCCCUUCCCACUCCUGUUCCCAUCCACUCUUCCCCUCUUAUGGGUCCUUCCCCAUGACUUGUCCUGAUGUCCAGGUUGGAUCCUGGGGACUAUGGUGUGAUCCUUGCACACAUCCCAGGCUCCAUGCUCUUGCUGUACCUGGCAAGCUUGAAGUCCAAAUGAUCCCAACAUACUCUCCCUCUUGUCCUGUACCAGGCGGCUGAAGGCUGCUGAGGGACAGCCCAGCCAGCCAGAAAUUACUGGAAACACUCCAAAACCGGCCUCCCAGGGUAUAACAUGCUGACGCAAUCUCCUCAUGCUUCUCUAGUCUACCUAGUCUCCAACCCUUUCACAAAGCUCUUCAAACAUCCAUGUAGUUCUGCCAAGGCUGGACCUCCCAGUGUAGGGAAUGUCAAGGGGGAGGAGCGGAAAGGGAGGGUGGUUGGGGAAGGGGAUGAGACAGGGGGCUUAUGGCCGGAACUGGGAAAGGAAAUAAUAUUUGAAAUGUAAAUAAAAAUAUCCAAUAAAAAAGAAAGAGGUGCAGUGAUGUUCCAGGUCCCAUUCCACACCAUAAGCUAAAUGUAUAUUAUCAACCAGCGCCAUGAGAAGUUGGAGAAUACUGAAGCAUACGGCGGCCUUUGAAUGAUAACAAUGUGGCCUAGUAGAGUCAUCAGUUGUUAACAGCAGAUGUGGUAGGUUAGGGAGGCUAUGCAUAUAAAACCUAAAACUUCUCAAUUUUUUUGAAGUGGAUUAAGAAUAAUGCACCUAUAGGGCUGGAGAGAUGGCUCAGUGGUUAGGAGCACUGGCCACUCUUCCAGAGGUCCUGAGUUCAAAUCCCAGCAACCACAAGGUGGCUCGCAACCAUCUGUAAUGGGAUCCGAUGCCUUCUUCUGUCAUGCAGGUGUACAUGGAGAUAGAGCAUCCAUGUGCAUUAAAUAAAUAAAUACAUAAAUAAAUUAUUUAGAAAUACAGUUUUAGAAAGACAGAAAAGUUAGUUGCAAAAGGGGAAAAAGAUGAAUUUCACAGUAUCACAAAGAAUGAAGUUGGCUAUUUUCUGUUGCUACAAGAGAAGACAAGAGUGGGCAGUUUAUAAGGCAAAGCAGUUUAUUUCACUUGUGGUUCUUGCUGGAAGUCCAUGGUGUUGCUUAAAGAUGUCACUGGGUUUCUAUAGCAGCAUUCCUUGCGCUAAUUCUUCUAUUGACAAGAGUUAAAAUAAUGUGCAGUUUUAUUUUUUCAGUUUGGCUUAGUGUAUGGUUGUUUUUGCUUGUGUGUGUGUGUGUGUGUGUGUGUGUGUGUGUGUGUAUGCACAGCAUGCAUGUUUAGGGAUGGAGGAUGUCGUAAGAGGUUGUUAGAGCCUCUGAAACUGGAGUUUCAGGUGCACGUAAGCCUCUCAUGGGUACUGGGAAUUGAACCUUAGCCACCAAGCCAUCACUCCAUGCCCCAGAUAAUGUGCACUUAACAUCAAAAUGGAGUUUUGUGUCAUUUAAGCGAAAUUAAGCUGCCCAAAGCCAAGGCUGUCCCCUGAUUCUGUCUUGCUGUGUUCCUCUGUGUCCCCAGAGCUGACUGAGGCUCUGGCGUGAGUUAGGUGCUGACCUGAUGCUUACAUGGGUCAACAUACACAACCCAUGCAGUCCAGUGCAGUAACACUGUGAGAUCCUGUUACUGCUGCCCUCACCCUUAAAGGUGGACCCUGACACACAGGAGUUAGACAGUUUUCCCAGGACCAUGGUCAGCGGGUGUGAGAGGUAAGAGCCAACAUCACAAGCUUUAUUUCAGCCUUGUCCUAUAAAUGACAUGAAGACUUUUCAGAGGGAACUUAGUCUGAUCCUGUUUCUCUUCCUCCCUUUACUGCCCACAUCAGCCAUAGUGUUGGGCACUCUCCAGGGCACAUGGUCCUUGACUGUUGCUGGUACUGACACCUUUCUCUAGGUUCCAGCCCCUGCUGGUCUCAGUCCCAGAUGAGUAGUCUCUAGAACAGGAUACCAAGGUUAACCCUCUGCACUUCCCUGAUAUUCAUUGCCUCCUCACCUGCCUUUCCCACCAGCUCUCGACAUCAGCUAGACCUGUUUUCUAUCUCUUCAAGGCCUCAAGCCCUCAUCACAUCUAAGCGUUUACCAUGUUCCCUGACCACCAACUUCAGGACUUGGUAUAGUAAUCAUUCUCUAAUGUCCACAAAACAUUUACUAUACUAAAAUGCAACUCUGGUUUAAGUAUCUAUUUCUUCCACCUGAGUAUCAGCCCCAGAAGACAGGAUGAUGUCCUGUCACUGCCUUGAUCCUAGCACUUGGCAGAACUCCUAACAUGUGCCAAACAGGUGCCCAGUAAUCUUGGUUGGAAUACCCAGUGAAAAAUAGAAACCAUAUGAUUGAUCCAAAUUACCCUUAAAGUGCACAAGGCCAAGCAAUCUCUGAAAGCAUGGGAAAACAAAUGACUCCACCCCAAAUACAUAGGUAACAAAUUUCCAUGAAGUACAUACAUCCAAUGAUCUUCCAAAAUAUUUGAAAACUAACUCAGUGAUCCCAAAGUACAUGAAAACAAAAAUCUUUCCAAAGUUUAUAAACCUACACCCUUCAAAGAAUAUGGGACCCAGUGACUCCCCAAGACUAUAGAACCCAAUGACCCCAAAGUGAAUGAAAACACCUCCCUAAAGUAUAUCAGUCCUAAUCCCCUAAGUAUGGAAUUCAAUGACCCUGAAAGUCCACAAGAUCCAGUGAUGUCCCAAAAGUAUCUGUGACCCAAAGACACCCCAACAAUUGCCCAAAGUAUAUGGGACCUGAUUACCCUUCAAAGUGCCAUUUGUCUCAUCUUUAGGUGAAUGAAGAACUCAUCAAUCAUUGAGAUGACAGCAAUUUGAGCUCUGGACUUGCUGUAGUAUUUGCAAGACCCCACUCUGCUCGAAUCUCUGCUCCCCCAAACUAGAGCGGAGUUUGCCUGGUUACAGUCAAUCACCAGGCAAGGAAUGUGACUCUUAAAAUACAUGUAUUCUGUGACACAAAUAAGAAAUAAGUGAAAGGUCUUUAAUCCUGACAAUUUCUGUAUUAGUCUUCUUUUUUCCUGGGACUAUAAUAGAAUGUCACAACCAAAGACAACUUAAUGAAGAAAGAGUUUGCUUUGGUUUACAGUCCAGGGAGCUACAGAGCCCAGUACAGGAGGGAGACAGGCAUGGCAGCAAAAGCAGGGAGCCGAGAACUCACAUCUUCAGCAAAAUCACAAAGCAGAGAUGGAAACUGCAGGUAGAGUAGGCUAUACAAUCUCAAAUCCCAUCCUGACCCCUCCAAGGAAGCUUGAACCACCUCAACCUCCCCAAACAGCUCUACCAACUGGAAACCAAGCUUCCUAACACCCAAGCCUGAUGAGGACAUCUCAUCAGACACCACAACCACCUGAAGAUUUCUGCUUCCCUCUCACGAGGCAGUCAAGAGAAGAAAAUACUUUUUAAAAUGUAGAAACAUGGAAGGAAGUAUUCGUGGCUCUGAAGUAGUAAGAAAAGGUAGGUUUCACUCCACCUCAGAACCCUACAUUUUUCUAUUGCUGUGAGACACUGUGAAACAUUCCUAGUAAUGAGAACCGGACACUCAAAUCUAAGAACAAAUCAUUUCAUAAAUGUAAGUAGAUUAGAAACUUUCUAUCUAAAGUCAGAAGAUUCAGCACUUGUAAACUAGAUUGGUAAGAGAAAAUGCAGAAAUGACUUGUCUCUGGGUGAGAGUGAGCUUGCGCAGGCCAGUGGGUCAGCUCCGUGGUGGUCCAGCGCAGAGCAGGGCCACUCUGCCUUGAACAAACAUUGUCCAGGAGAAACUGGCUCAGGGGACAGAGGCUCUGUGUUUCCCAGCCAAGUUCAAGGCACACCAGAGUCCAGUCAGUUGUGCUUGUGGUCCGACAACUGAGGCUAAAGAAGAGCCUAAAGAGUCUUCUGUUUUUCAUUUUAGAGUCAUAUGACUCGUACACAUACUUUUUACAUAAUAAAACAAGUGUUUUUCCAUCUGAAAAGGUUGCAAUUUCUCAAUAAAGACUCCUUGGCUAGGCUUUACCAUAACACGUGGAGAAAGUCUACUUUUUAGCUUCACCUUCACGGCAGGAAAACACAGUUAUAUGUGGAAAGUGAUUUCAAUAAGUCACCCAGUGAGUCACUCACAGGGCCCAGUGGGACAAAUUAGACUUCUGGAGAUUCUACUGAUAGGAAGAAUUCUUACAAAACCCUCUUGACAUCACAAUAGGGCACAAGGUGAACGGUAGAAGGUACUGAGAGCAACACACAGCAAGAGAAAGGGCUGUCAGCAACCGGAUCACAUCAUAUGCUUGCAUGAAAAUUCCAUUAUAAAACUUAUAUUUCAUAUUAUGUAUACAAAUGAAUUCCCCAUUUCAAGUGGGAGUUGCUUCCUUCCUCCAUUUGUGAAAAUUCUGUAUCAUUUCCUUUUUAUUAAGAUCUGAAAAAGUAAGAACUAUGCCUAAUCUCUAAUAUCUUUAAAAACUGAGUUGCUAGAAAAAUAUUUUUGAUAUAUAAAUAUAUAACUUAUAUAUAAAUAUAUACAUAAUAAAAUAUAUUGUAUAUGCCCAGGAAACUGAUACAUAUAAUAUGUAUAUAUGUACAUAUAGAUAUAUAUCAUGUAUGCCUAUCUAUGUUAUUUUAUAAAUGUCACAAAAAGGAGCUGGAGAGAUGGCUCCUCAUGUUAAGAAGCUUCAGAGAACCGAGAUUUGAUCCCAAGCACUAACAUGGAGGCUCAUAAUGUUCUAAAACUCCAUUCCCAGGAGAUUUAAUGGCCUCCUCUGGCCUCUGAGCUCACUGAAUGCCCAUAGUGCAGACACACAUGGUGCAGACACACAUGCAGGAAAAACACCCAUAAACAUAACAUAAAAAGAUGGAGCGGAAACGGCGGGAACAGCCAACCAAGGACUGGCCCAACUUGAGAGCCAACCCGUGGAAGAAAGUCAACCCUGACACUGUUAAUGAUACUCUGCUGUGCUUGUAGACAGAAACCUAAGAUAACGGUCUCCUAAGAGGUGCCAUUCAGCAGCUGGUGAAAACAGAUGCAGACACCCACAGCCAAGCAUUAGCGGGAGCUUGGGAAGUCUUGUGGAAGAGUGGGGGUUAGAACUGAUCAAGUCAGAGGGGUCAAGGACACUAGAAGAAGACCUACAGAGUCAACUAACCUGGGCCCAUGGGGCACACAGAGACUAAACCACCAAUCCAACAGCACACAGUGGCUGGACCGAAGCCUCACACACAUUUGUACAGAUGUGCAGCUGGGUCUUCAUGUGGGUCCCCUAACAAUUGGAGCAGGUGCUGUCUCUGACUCUGUUGCCUGCCACUGGAUCCCCUUUCCAUGCCUGAACUGCCUGUCUGAGCUUCAGUGGGAGAGGAGGUGUUUAGUCCUGUUGGGAUGUUCUAGGGUAGGGUGAUACCCAAGGGGGAGCUUCCCCUUCUCUGAGGAAAAGAGAAGGAGGUAAUAGGUGGGGAUUUACAAGAGCAGUACUGGGGGGAGAGGAGGGAGGAAGGCUGUGAUUGGGAUAUAAUGUAAACAAAAACAGUAAUUAUGGGAAAAAAUAAAAUUAUCUGGCAAACACAGAUGAGAAAAUGACUGCUAAUUUUGGCUUAACAUUUUAAAUAAUUUGUAAUUUCUUAUUACAAAUUAUUUGAAAGGCUUCAAGCAAUUAUAUUCAAAUCUCUAAGUUUUAAUUUAAUUUAGUUUUAGACAAGGUCUUAGUAUAAAUCCCUGGGUGACUUAGAACUCUCUACAUAGACAAGGCUGGCUUCAAACUCUCAGACCCACCUAUUUUGCCUCCUAUGUGCUGGGAUUAAAGGUGUGCAUUAGCAUGCCUAGUCUGAAAUCUCUAACUUAUUAUAACCAUAAGCAUAGCCAUAAAUAGUCAAUAGGUUUCCCUAAUCACGUCAGUUUCAUGCUGUUUUCUUCUGUCCUCAAUUUAAGGCUAAAUAGUGAGAGAUGUAGGGUGUUGAAAUGCACCCUUUGUUGUGUGCAUGGCUCUUUGCAUAACAAACUGUAAGAUUCUUUUCUUGUUAGCUAGGAGGACGCCAUUGGUGAGUAACUCAGGAAAAAAAAAUUUGAAAAUUUGUAAUGGAUGACUUCAUUCUCUUUUAGAUUCUACUUUGAUGUUGUCUUGCAACCAUGCUGAAAGAUCGUGUCCUAAGUUUUCCAAAACCCAGACAGUGGCAUCCAAAUAAAUGUAUAAUUUAAUUGGGUGUAUGUGUGUGUGUGUGUGUGUGUGUGUGUGUGUGUAUGUGUGUGUGUGUAUGUGUGUGUAUGUGUGUGUGUAUGUGUGUGUGUGUGUGUGUGUGUGUGUGUGUGUGUGUGCUAAUGUGCACAUGCCUGCACAUGCUUGUGAGUACAACUCCUGUGGAGCCAGAGUUACCAGGUCUCCUGGAGCUGGAGCUCCAUCCAGCCUUUCUGCUCUGGGAUAGAACUGUGGUUACACACAAGAACAGCAAGCUCUCUUAACCACAUUAGACCAUCUCUCCUGAUCUCACUUUGUGUUUUUAAAAGAGAAAAACUGCUGGGCAUAAUGGCAUGUGCCUUUAAUCUCAACACUUGUGAAGAGAGGUAGUUUGGAGCUCCAGACUAGUCAAAGCUACAUAAUGAGACCCUGUCUCAGAAAGAAGAAAAGGAAACAGGAAAGGAGAUGUAUGUUUAUCUCAUGCCAUAUUAUACACGUCUAAAUGUGUGUAUGUGCAGAUAUGAGUACAUAUAUGUGUGUAUUAAUGUUUGUCUUGUUUUCUUUGGCCUUUUAAAGCAGGCUCUCACUAUGUAACCCUGGCUACCUGGAAACUAGCCUGUAGAUCUGACUGAAGCAAUUCCAACUUGAAGCAAUUCUCUUGUGAAGUGAAAAUUUCUGAUUUUUGUUUUGUUUUGUUGUUUUGUUUUUAAACAACUCAGUUGUGUCACAUGAUGCUUCGCUGAAUACAGACACUUGAGAGGGUGCGAGAUGUUUGGAAAGAAUGCAAAUGGAAUCCCACAGACAGUGAGAGGACGCGUUUGCAUGGUUAUGCCGUGCAAUUCUUCCCUGCUCUUUGCUGGUCUUCGUUGGAUUUCAGUUCGUAAAGAGAAAUGUGCCAAAGAACUUCUCUUGCAAUUCCAGCUGCUUCUGCUGACUCAUUCCACCACUGCUGACUGGUGUUUGGUGUUUGCUAUUGAACUGACUGCUGGUAUCCUGACAACAAAGCGUGGAAUUGUUUCAAGGAAUUAUUUCUAAACAGGUCCACAACGCCCUUUCUCUGUUAAGCUUCUUUUUCCCCUACCUCUGGGUUACCCCUACCGAUGGGUUAGAAAGGAGGUUGAAGCAUUUAAGCACCCUAAAUAAAAUAGGUUUUAAAAAAAAA